This 1009-nucleotide small RNA is filed under the name Pongo abelii (Sumatran orangutan). RNAcentral describes it as "retained intron". The record is from RNAcentral. Lineage: Eukaryota; Metazoa; Chordata; Mammalia; Primates; Hominidae.
CCUCACCUGUAAAAUGGGGAUGAUAAUAGCACUUAUGUCCUAGUGUUGUUGUUAGGACUAAAUACGGUGAAAUAUAUGGAAACCACUUUGAACAGAGCUGGGCACAUGGUGAGUGUUACAGACGUGUUUGCUAUUAUUAUUACAAUGUUACCAAAUCAUAAAAAGACUUCCCUACUGGUAUGCUAAACUAGGGAAUAAUUUAAUUCUGGGAACGGAUUCUAGCCGGACAGUUUCUCCUCCCUUUCAUUGGAAUUGUUCUACCUCAAGCUGGGGGCCAACUUAGCGCAGAGAAACCACCCCUCAAGUCUGCAACCCUUUCCACAGAGGAGGGCAGGGCAGGUGCUUGGAGCCAGUGGUAACGACAUCAAUUGCAAAUUAAAUUUUCUAGGAAUGAGUUUGAAAAAAUCUGCAGAAAGGAGGUGAAACCAUUAGGAUUAACAGUAAUGAGAGAUGUGACCAUUUCGAAAUCAGAAUAUGCUCCAAGUGAGAAGAUGAUCACGAAGGUCCAGGAUUUCCAGGAAGAUAAGGAGCUCUUCAGAUACUGUACUCUCCCCGAGAUUCUGAAAUAUGUGGAGUGCUUCACUGGACCUAAUAUUAUGGCCAUGCACACAAUGUUGAUAAACAAACCUCCAGAUUCUGGUAAUUGUAAGGGAGAAGAAAAAAAAAAUGGUUUCAUUAAAAUGUGUAAGGUUAGCUGGGUGCAGUAACUCAUGCCUGUAAUCCCAGCAUUUUAGGAGACUGAGGGAGGAAGAUCUCCGAGGCCAGGAGUUUGAGAGUGGUCUGGGCAACAUAGUGAGGCUCUGUCUCCAAAAAUAAAAUUUGAAAAUAUCCAGGCAUGGUGGUACGCACUGUAGUCCCUGCUAUUGGAAGGCUGAGGUGGGAGGAUCGCUUGAGCCCAGGAGUUGAAGGCUGCAGUGAACCUAUAAUGGCAUGCUCUCCAGCCUGCGUGACACAGUGAGACCCUAUCUCUAAAUAAUAAAUAAAAUAAAACAAAACAAAAUAAUAAAAU